This 228-nucleotide ribosomal RNA is filed under the name uncultured Nitrobacter sp. RNAcentral's name for it is "partial 16S ribosomal RNA". It matches the Rfam family "Bacterial small subunit ribosomal RNA", at positions 1259 to 1485 of the family's 1533-position model. The record is from RNAcentral. Lineage: Bacteria; Pseudomonadati; Pseudomonadota; Alphaproteobacteria; Hyphomicrobiales; Nitrobacteraceae.
UACCCMUAGCAAAUCUCAAAAAACCGUCUCAGUUCGGAUUGGACUCUGCAACUCGAGUCCAUGAAGUUGGAAUCGCUAGUAAUCGUGGAUCAGCAUGCCACGGUGAAUACGUUCCCGGGCCUUGUACACACCGCCCGUCACACCAUGGGAGUUGGUUUUACCUGAAGGCGGUGCGCUAACCCGCAAGGGAGGCAGCCGACCACGGUAGGGUCAGCGACUGGGGUGAAG